GGCCGUUUGGCUAAGAUCAUGUAGUAUAUCGGGGGGUCGGUGGAAGGCUGGUUAAACCGUUUGGUUUUCGACCACUAGGACCCGAGUUCGAUUCCCGCAUUGGACA
Non-coding RNA from Cordylochernes scorpioides, 106 nucleotides. Lineage: Eukaryota; Metazoa; Arthropoda; Arachnida; Pseudoscorpiones; Chernetidae. The record is from the annotation of a GenBank genome assembly.